AAAUUGAAGAGUUUGAUCAUGGCUCAGAUUGAACGCUGGCGGCAGGCCUAACACAUGCAAGUCGAACGGUAACAGGAAGCAGCUUGCUGCUUCGCUGACGAGUGGCGGACGGGUGAGUGAUGUCUGGGAAACUGCCUGAUGGAGGGGGAUAACUACUGGAAACGGUGGCUAAUACCGCAUAACGUCGCAAGACCAAAGAGGGGGACCUUCGGGCCUCUUGCCAUCAGAUGUGCCCAGAUGGGAUUAGCUUGUUGGUGAGGUAACGGCUCACCAAGGCGACGAUCCCUAGCUGGUCUGAGAGGAUGACCAGCCACACUGGAACUGAGACACGGUCCAGACUCCUACGGGAGGCAGCAGUGGGGAAUAUUGCACAAUGGGCGCAAGCCUGAUGCAGCCAUGCCGCGUGUAUGAAGAAGGCCUUCGGGUUGUAAAGUACUUUCAGCGGGGAGGAAGGUGUUG
This 459-nucleotide ribosomal RNA is filed under the name Salmonella enterica subsp. enterica serovar Infantis. RNAcentral's name for it is "bacterial SSU rRNA". It matches the Rfam family "Bacterial small subunit ribosomal RNA", at positions 1 to 456 of the family's 1533-position model. RNAcentral also lists the same sequence under 1 other name. Lineage: Bacteria; Pseudomonadati; Pseudomonadota; Gammaproteobacteria; Enterobacterales; Enterobacteriaceae. The record is from RNAcentral.